Molecule: transfer RNA, 60 nt
Filed under: Hypsilurus modestus (modest forest dragon)
Lineage: Eukaryota; Metazoa; Chordata; Lepidosauria; Squamata; Agamidae
Description: tRNA-Cys
Source: RNAcentral
GGUUUAAAUUAAUUUCUGAUUGCAAGUCGGAUUGUGAGCAAUAGUAUAGCUCUUAAGCCU